UUUGUCCUACGGGAGGCAGCAGUAGGGAAUUUUCGUCAAUGGGCGCAAGCCUGAACGAGCAAUGCCGCGUGAAGGAAGAAGGCUUUCGGGUUGUAAACUUCUUUUCUCAGGGACGAAGAAAGUGACGGUACCUGAGGAAUAAGCCACAGCUAACUACGUGCCAGCAGCCGCGGUAAUACGUAGGUGGCAAGCGUUAUCCGGAUUUAUUGGGUGUAAAGGGCGUGUAGGCGGGAGCGCAAGUCAGAUGUGAAAACUCAGGGCUCAACCCUGAGCCUGCAUUUGAAACUGUGUUUCUUGAGUGCUGG
RNAcentral lists this ribosomal RNA (305 nucleotides) under uncultured bacterium. RNAcentral describes it as "bacterial SSU rRNA". It matches the Rfam family "Bacterial small subunit ribosomal RNA", at positions 333 to 652 of the family's 1533-position model. The record is from RNAcentral.